This 329-nucleotide ribosomal RNA is filed under the name uncultured Chloroflexota bacterium. RNAcentral's name for it is "bacterial SSU rRNA". It matches the Rfam family "Bacterial small subunit ribosomal RNA", at positions 28 to 351 of the family's 1533-position model. The record is from RNAcentral. Lineage: Bacteria; Bacillati; Chloroflexota.
GAUAAACGCUGGCGGCGUGCCUAAUACAUGUAAGUCGAACGAGGGACUUUUGUAGCAAUACGAGGGUUUCCUAGUGGCGAAUGGGUGAGUAACGCGUUGGUGACCUGCCCCAAAGUGAGGGAUAACAGUUCGAAAGGACUGCUAAUACCACAUGUGGUCAGCGGGUUUAGAAACCGCUGAAAAAGAAGCAAUUCGCUUUGGGAGGGACCUGCGUCCCAUCAGCUAGUUGGUAGGGUAAUGGCCUACCAAGGCUGCGACGGGUAGGGGGCCUGAGAGGGUGGCCCCCCACAUUGGCACUGACACACGGGCCAAACACCUACGGGUGGCUG